This 429-nucleotide ribosomal RNA is filed under the name Chloroflexota bacterium. RNAcentral's name for it is "Chloroflexi bacterium partial 16S ribosomal RNA". It matches the Rfam family "Bacterial small subunit ribosomal RNA", at positions 355 to 776 of the family's 1533-position model. Lineage: Bacteria; Bacillati; Chloroflexota. The record is from RNAcentral.
UGGGGAAUAUUGCACAAUGGGCGCAAGCCUGAUGCAGCCAUGCCGCGUGUGUGAAGAAGGCCUUCGGGUUGUAAAGCACUUUCAGCGGGGAGGAAGGCGUUAAGGUUAAUAACCUUGGCGAUUGACGUUACCCGCAGAAGAAGCACCGGCUAACUCCGUGCCAGCAGCCGCGGUAAUACGGAGGGUGCAAGCGUUAAUCGGAAUUACUGGGCGUAAAGCGCACGCAGGCGGUCUGUCAAGUCGGAUGUGAAAUCCCCGGGCUCAACCUGGGAACUGCAUUCGAAACUGGCAGGCUAGAGUCUUGUAGAGGGGGGUAGAAUUCCAGGUGUAGCGGUGAAAUGCGUAGAGAUCUGGAGGAAUACAGGUGGCGAAGGCGGCCCCCUGGACAAAGACUGACGCUCAGGUGCGAAAGCGUGGGGAGCAAACAGG